This 460-nucleotide ribosomal RNA is filed under the name uncultured bacterium. RNAcentral describes it as "partial 16S ribosomal RNA". It matches the Rfam family "Bacterial small subunit ribosomal RNA", at positions 338 to 795 of the family's 1533-position model. The record is from RNAcentral.
CCUACGGGAGGCUGCAGUGAGGAAUAUUGGUCAAUGGACGAGAGUCUGAACCAGCCAAGUAGCGUGAAGGAUGACUGCUCUAUGGGUUGUAAACUUCUUUUAUAAAGGAAUAAAAUGAGGCACGUGUGCCGUUUUGCAUGUACUUUAUGAAUAAGGAUCGGCUAACUCCGUGCCAGCAGCCGCGGUAAUACGGAGGAUCCGAGCGUUUUCCGGAUUUAUUGGGUUUAAAGGGAGCGUAGAUGGGAUGUUAAGUCAGUUGUGAAAGUUUGCGGCUUAACCGUAAAAUUACAAUUGAUACUGGCAGUCUUGAGUGCAGUAGAGGUAGGCGGAAUUCGUGGUGUAGCGGUGAAAUGCGUAGAUAUCACGAGGAACCCCGAUGGCGAAGGCAGCUUACUAAGCUGUGACUGACAUUGAUGCUCGAAAGUGUGGGGAUCAAACAGGAUUAGAUACCCCGGUAGUC